Long non-coding RNA from Saccoglossus kowalevskii, 408 nucleotides. Lineage: Eukaryota; Metazoa; Hemichordata; Enteropneusta; Harrimaniidae. The record is from RefSeq and is a predicted model, not a curated record.
AGUAUGAAGUUUAGCGGAGACGACAUCAGUUCAUCAUUGAGCUCUAGCACUGGGUUUUCUGGGUCAUCUGGGAAGGCACCAUCAUGGAGUCACAGUAGUCGGAGUACGUAUUCGUACAUGGACAGUAGUAUGAACUCUACCAAAUCACCAACACGUGCACCAAAUAAUUUUAGUAAUUCUCCACCGCUUACAAAUUCUGUGCCAAACAAACAAAAUGCAUCAAGUAAUCGAAUGAUGCAGACUGGAGGAGUUCCAAGCAAUUACCAAACAGGAGGUAGACAACAAAAGAACACUAGGAAUAGUGGAGGAUGGAUGGACUUUUAAUUUUGCUUCUGUUACUUUAUUUAAAAUUCUAUUUAAAAAUAGGAAAAAAAAAACAGGCAAGGAUAAUAAAAUUACCAAAGAACA